UAAGUAAAUAAAUCAGACUGUUUUUAUUCUGGUUCAGAUCACCGAUGUGGUUCCUAGUCCAGUACCCUUGGGUUUCAAGAGUUUCCUUAAGAGCUUGUUGAAAACUUGGGUGUUACAGAAUGUUACGAUUAAAAGCUCGUCUAAUAUGCAAAUCAGACCUUCUUCUCUGACACAACCUCUACCUGUAUAACAUACACUCAGAUAUUUCUUUUUCUUUUCUUUAUAUUUGUUCACUCAAAGGUGUACAAAGUUUUAUGAAAGAUAACAAAAGAUUACAAUAUAAGUUCAAAAGAAGUGUGUACUUCACAACUAUGGUUAAGAGAGGAUUAUAUAGAGUGGACGACUGCUGCUCUAUUAUGGAAAUCCAAGGGUUUUCAAAUCAAGAAUCCCUCGAUUAAAUCCUUGAUUGAUUUUAUGAAUCAUGCCCAUAUCAAAUAUGUCCAUGAUUAAAUCAAUUCCUUUCUUUGUUAGAUGAUCUCCCUGAAUCUUGCUUGAUAAUGGUUGAUAUCCGCAAUCUGACAAAUAUAUUAUUUCCUUGAUGAACAAAUUUGCUCGUUCCCAAGUGUUUGUGCAGAUUGAUUGAGAUCCCUUGCCAUUCGUGUGUUGAUCUCUCUUUCCUGAUUGAUUUCCUUUUUGGAAUGAUGGAUGAUUGAAUCAAUCUUUUAGAUUGAUUGUGUAUUGAUCCAUUUCCAUGGUUGAUGCAGAUUGUGAGUUCAAUCUAUUCCUUGAUUAGUGUGAUCCUUCUUCAUGUACCUUCUUUUGAUUUUCUGCGAUAUGAAUUCAGUUUACAUUAUUCAAAAUACCAUAAGUUAACAUUUAUUUGAUUAAGAGGUUAUCCUCCACUAUUCUUAAAGAAGAGGCUCGUCAUAAUUUAUUGUACCAUGUCUUUUUUUCCCUUGAUCAUUUAAGGGUGCUUGAUUGUUUUGUGUUUGAUACUAAGGUAAUAAAGGUUGACAAAUUCCCUCAAGAGAUAUUAUAGUUGUGUUUAUUGGGUACUCUAGUCUCCAAAAAAGAUACGAACUUAAUAUUUUGCACACAAAGGAGUUUUUGUGAGUAGAAAUGUUGUCUUUAAGGAGACUGUAUUUCCAUUUAAGCACAAUAUCACUUCUUGUUCUUCUUUAUUUCAUGUUCUUCUGUUCACCAAGGAUCACACCACUCCUUCUUCAUCUCUGUAGACUCAGUUGCAUGUAGUGACGAAGUUCUAGUUGAGUCUCCUUAAUUACACCAGUAUAGUUCUGGAGUCCAAUACUGCUCAUAUAAGCUUGUCUUCUAAUGAUGGUACUAUAACCGAGUCCACUGUCCUGGAUAGAUCUUUAGACUAAGUAAACCUCCUAUAUAUGGAUGCAUGAUCUUCUUCCUACUUAACCUAAAUAUCAUUAUCUUUUUUAUCUCCGAUUAUGUGAGUUAUGCAUUCCUUUUUAUAUCAUACUGUAAAGAUCUAGCUACUUAUUUUGGGAUCUCUAAGCCCACAUCUUUUAGCUUCUCAUCCUCAAUGGAUUGAACCACUAAAUGUUGAAAUUGCUGUUUUUGCGGAGAACCAUAAUUGGAUCAUUAUUGAGCUUUCUCCUUGUAAGUAACCCAUUGGCUAUAAAUAGGUGUUUAAGGUGAAGUAUAUUGAGAGGUAUAAGACAAAACCAAUUUCCAAAGGUUUUAGUUACAAAGAAGGUAUUUGGACUACACAUAGACUUUUUCUCUAGUUGCAGAGAUGAUUGUUCCGAGGUAAAUCUUGGUUGUGGCUAUUGCUAAACACUAACUUAUUUUUCAAAUGGAUGUUCACAAUUCCUUCUUACAGGAUGAUAUUUUUAAAAAUGUGUGUAUUGUUGUAGCACCUAGUUUUUAUAAACAAGGUAGAUCUAGCAAAUUCUACAAAUUACACAAGUUUUUUUAUAGACUCAAGCAAGCACCAGGACAGUUGAACCUGAAGUUAACUCAAACGAUGAUUCAGUUGAGAUAUGUUCAAACCUAUUUUUUUUUAUCUAGAAAGUUGAUAAAAAAUUUGUAGUGGUUUUUGUAUACGUGGAUUAUCUCCUUGUAGCUGGAAGUUACUUGUUAAGACCAAGAAUGAUUUGAAGCUCAAGCUCAAAAUGAAGGAUGUGAGUGAAUUGAAAUUUUUCUUUGAUAUUGAGUUUGCUAGAUCUAAGGAAGGAAAUGUUAUGAACCAGCGCAAAUAUACCUUGAAAUUUAUCUC
Solanum lycopersicum (tomato) is the source of this 2188-nucleotide long non-coding RNA. RefSeq lists it as uncharacterized. NCBI's taxonomy places the organism in Eukaryota, Viridiplantae, Streptophyta, Magnoliopsida, Solanales, Solanaceae. The record is from RefSeq and is a predicted model, not a curated record.